Mercenaria mercenaria is the source of this 715-nucleotide long non-coding RNA. RefSeq lists it as uncharacterized. Lineage: Eukaryota; Metazoa; Mollusca; Bivalvia; Venerida; Veneridae. The record is from RefSeq and is a predicted model, not a curated record. The transcript is spliced from 4 exons.
AGAUUUCCCCCUGCGAUUCUCACCAGAUGUGUCAUAUUGAAGAGUACAAAUGGUUCGAUCAUUCUCACUUUAAGCUAGGAUGUGGACAUGGAUUGUGUCACCCUGUGAGAAGAAUGGGUAGUCACGUGUUCAAAAAGGAAACCCCUGUAUGUCAGUCAUGUUGCUCUGAUGACUACUGCAACCGGAAUUGUACAACUUCAUCCCAAGGUCAAACUGGGUCCUUUAUUGUCGGUUAAGGUGAGACGUUCCACACACAUAUACAGAUACAUAGUGUAGAUAUCAGACUGACGACAUCUAGCAAACACAACUUCUUUAAAUGACUAAGCGUUUAAUAGUAAUUUUGAAAUCCAGCAACGCUUGCCUCAACUCCAGAAACAAUGAAUCAUUUAAUUUUAAAUCAUUGAUACUUCAUGUGGCAAUCUGCAUGCGUUAGCAGAUAAUAAAAGUUCCGCCUUAUCAUUGAGUUUUUAUGAAAAUGCAUAUAGCAAUGUGGAUAAAAGAAAACCGACAUUUUAAAAAAUUAUCAGAAUAAAAUAUCAUUGCGUUACGCCCGAGAUAACAAAUUUGUUUUGAGAAAUACCGCAUAUUUGGUGUUAGCUUUUUUCACUUUUACUACUUUUAUCUAAACAGGUGGAAGAUUCCGUGAAAGCCAGUUGUAACAGUCAAUAUCUCUUAGCUGCUUUGGAUUAUUUCCGGGUCCUUAAUAGUAUUUUUA